UACGAAGGGGGCUAGCGUUGCUCGGAAUCACUGGGCGUAAAGGGUGCGUAGGCGGGUCUUUUAAGUCAGGGGUGAAAUCCUGGAGCUCAACUCCAGAACUGCCUUUGAUACUGAGGAUCUUGAGUUCGGGAGAGGUGAGUGGAACUGCGAGUGUAGAGGUGAAAUUCGUAGAUAUUCGCAAGAACACCAGUGGCGAAGGCGGCUCACUGGCCCGAUACUGACGCUGAGGCACGAAAGCGUGGGGAGCGAACAGG
RNAcentral lists this ribosomal RNA (254 nucleotides) under uncultured bacterium. Its description in RNAcentral is "partial 16S ribosomal RNA". It matches the Rfam family "Bacterial small subunit ribosomal RNA", at positions 524 to 776 of the family's 1533-position model. The record is from RNAcentral.